This 293-nucleotide long non-coding RNA is filed under the name Brachypodium distachyon (stiff brome). Its description in RNAcentral is "long non-coding RNA (BDIS_LNC006003)". Lineage: Eukaryota; Viridiplantae; Streptophyta; Magnoliopsida; Poales; Poaceae. The record is from RNAcentral.
AGAAAGACAUUAGGUUUCCCCUUUGCAAAGGCCCUUCUGGCCUCUUGAAGUAAUAACAAACAAUAUCGUCGCGCGAAAUGCUCAGGGUCAGACAUAUCAGUAUUUGAAGGAGUUGUGGUCAGGUCAUCUGGCUCAGGGUCAGACAUAUCAUCAUUUGAAGGAGUUGUGGUCAGGUCAUCUCGUUCAUUGGACAUUUCUUGAGGCAUCUCACGCACGGGGGAUGUGCUAGGGUUAAGAUCAGCAAUGAUUCUAUCAAUGUCUGGAGGGUCUGACUCAGACAUGCUUUGAUCUGG